This 400-nucleotide ribosomal RNA is filed under the name uncultured bacterium. RNAcentral describes it as "bacterial SSU rRNA". It matches the Rfam family "Bacterial small subunit ribosomal RNA", at positions 355 to 772 of the family's 1533-position model. The record is from RNAcentral.
UCGGGAAUUUUGGGCAAUGGGCGAAAGCCUGACCCAGCAACGCCGCGUGAAGGAUGAAGUAUUUCGGUAUGUAAACUUCGAAAGAAUAGGAAGAAUAAAUGACGGUACUAUUUAUAAGGUCCGGCUAACUACGUGCCAGCAGCCGCGGUAAUACGUAGGGACCAAGCGUUGUUCGGAUUUACUGGGCGUAAAGGGCGCGUAGGCGGCAAUUCAAGUCAUCUGUGAAAUCUCCGAGCUUAACUCGGAACGGUCAAGUGAUACUGCUGUGCUAGAGUACAGAAGGGGCAAUCGGAAUUCUUGGUGUAGCGGUGAAAUGCGUAGAUAUCAAGAGGAACACCUGAGGUGAAGACGGGUUGCUGGGCUGAUACUGACGCUGAGGCGCGAAAGCCAGGGGAGCAAA